RNAcentral lists this ribosomal RNA (250 nucleotides) under uncultured bacterium. Its description in RNAcentral is "partial 16S ribosomal RNA". It matches the Rfam family "Bacterial small subunit ribosomal RNA", at positions 524 to 774 of the family's 1533-position model. The record is from RNAcentral.
UACGUAGGUCCAAAGCGUUGUCCGGAUUUAUUGGGCGUAAAGCGAGCGCAGGUGGUUUCUUAAGUCUGAUGUAAAAGGCAGUGGCUCAACCAUUGUGUGCAUUGGAAACUGGGAGACUUGAGUGCAGGAGAGGAGAGUGGAAUUCCAUGUGUAGCGGUGAAAUGCGUAGAUAUAUGGAGGAACACCGGAGGCGAAGGCGGCCUACUGGGCUUUUACUGACGCUGAGGCUCGAAAGCGUGGGGAGCAAACA